CCUACGGGAGGCAGCAGUGGGGAAUAUUGCACAAUGGAGGGAACUCUGAUGCAGCGACGCCGCGUGAGUGAAGAAGUACUUCGUUAUGUAAAGCUCUAUCAGCAGGGAAGAAAGUGACGGUACCUGACUAAGAAGCCCCGGCUAACUACGUGCAAGCAGCCGCGGUAAUACGUAGGGGGCAAGCGUUAUUCGGAUUUACUGGGUGUAAAGGGAGCGUAGACGGCAGCGCAAGUCUGGAGUGUAAUGCCGGGGCCCAACCCCGGAACUGCUCUGGAAACUGUGAAGCUGGAGUGCAGGAGAGGUAAGCGGAAUUCGUGGUGUAGCGGUGAAAUGCGUAGAUAUCAGGAGGAACACCGGCGGCGAAGGCGGCAUACUGGACUGUAACUGACGUUGAGGCACGAAGGCGUGGGGAGCAAACAGGAUUAGAUACCCCUGUAGUC
RNAcentral lists this ribosomal RNA (440 nucleotides) under uncultured bacterium. RNAcentral's name for it is "partial 16S ribosomal RNA". It matches the Rfam family "Bacterial small subunit ribosomal RNA", at positions 338 to 795 of the family's 1533-position model. The record is from RNAcentral.